UCCGCUUUGUGUGCGGCAGUCUCUCUAGAUUUGCAACUAGAGACAAGGGUUGCGCUCGUUGCGGGACUUAACCCAACAUCUCACGACACGAGCUGACGACAGCCAUGCAACAUCUGUGAUACCGUCCCUUGCGGGAGGACUCUCUUUCAAGAGUUUGCGAUACCAUGUCAAGCCCAGGUAAGGUUCUUCGCGUCGCAUCGAAUUUAACCACACGCUCCGCUGCUUGUGCGGGUCCCCGUCAAUUCCUUUGAGUUUUAAUCUUGCGACCGUACUCCCCAGGCGGGAUGCUUAAUGCGUUAGCUGCGCCACUGACCGGUAAACCGGCCAACGGCUAGCAUCCAUCGUUUACGGCGUGGACUAC
RNAcentral lists this unclassified non-coding RNA (361 nucleotides) under uncultured bacterium. Its description in RNAcentral is "contains 16S-23S intergenic spacer region". The record is from RNAcentral.